This 1466-nucleotide long non-coding RNA is filed under the name Parus major (Great Tit). RNAcentral's name for it is "lncRNA (ENSPMJG00000015738.1)". Lineage: Eukaryota; Metazoa; Chordata; Aves; Passeriformes; Paridae. The record is from RNAcentral.
CACAGUUCUCCCAGAAGCAAUAGAAGCAGCAUCUGUGCAUAUAGCUUUUAAGUCUGUAAUUUGUCUGUAAUUUCUCUGCAAUCACCAAUAUUCUGUGGGGCUUCUAGGGUGGUUUUUUAGUGUGUGUUUUCUUUUCCAUUGCAAAGACCCAACUCUCUCUCUGAAAGCCCAUAUGCUCCUGUCCUGUUUGACUUUAGCAUGCAGGAAAUGGCCUCUGUCCAAUUAGCAGCAUGGGAAUUAGCACUGCUCAAAAUUUGCUGCUCCCCACUGUAUUCCCCUCUGAGACUGCUGAACUUCAGUGCUCGAUUUUUUCUCUUUCUCUCUUUUUUAAACAGCAUCACAAAGAUUGACUGCAUAGCAAACUAUUAGAAAAGCACUGUUAAUACUGAAGUCAGAAGGUGCAGCUGUUCAAUUCCUAGUAAUGGUAACAACAGAGGCAUUUCAGCUGCCAACUGCCUGCUGCCUGCUCAGCAGCCGAGGGGGAAGGAUUGGCCUGGUGGGAAAAUGUGUUAUAAUCCUCCUGGAGCAGCUGCCCCAGCUUUCCUGCUUGCUAGUGAAGCCCAGAGGCAAAAGGACCAGUCUUUCCCCUCCCAGGUAGAUGAACACUCCUGAGCAUGAGACAUGGGAAGGGUGGUGAGGCAAAGGCUGUGUUACAUUGGAGGGCUUGGAGACAUGCUGCAGCAGACAAAAGACCCCAUGCAUAGAGAGACCUGCAUGUCUUCUGUGGCCUUUUCCAGACAUUCUGUGGGAUUUCAUGAUGCUGAAUUGUGAGUUAGUCUAACACAGAUCCAGUGAAGAGAAGCUAGGAAGGAACAGAAUUUUUUAUUUUUUUUUGGGUCCAGUUAGUACAGACAGCUGGCUGCUAAUCACCCUCAGUGCUUCUGUAGGAAGAAAACAGUUGGAAGAGGUCCUUGUCCUUCCCAAUGCAUUUCCUCUCUGCUCCUUUCCCUACUGCAGUUUCCUGUCCCCUGCCACAGUUACAUUAAGGCAGCUAUUUCUGGUGUCAUCUAAAACAGACCAGAAGGGUUUUUCUCGUUUUGCUAAUUCCAGCUAUUUCACUGAUUUAGUUUAAAGGGUAUCAGCACACUUAGGAGUGAUAAAUGGGAAGGAGGAGGGAAAGUAACAAAUAGCUGUGGGUGAGAAAAGGCAGAAUCCUUCUUUGGCAGCUUUGCCAUUAGAUAAUUGUGGUGUGGAAAGCACCUUCAGAUGUCCACUGAGAAAUGCAUUGGCAUUUGGGCCCCUAUUCCAAAAAACAUGCUGGAGCAUGCUUCACUGCUGCUCUGUUUCUUCAUUCUUAGUAAAUUGUCAAGUAAACACAUGUCCAAGGCACCCACUGACUAGUCAUUGGGGCUUAGGGAGAGGAGAGGAGAAAAGUAAAUACUGCUAACUCUGUUCUGAUGAAAUGGGCAGAAAAUAGACAGAGCAAUUUGAACAGAAAUAAAAUAUACAGCCUGUGUACCCCUUCA